Molecule: ribosomal RNA, 745 nt
Filed under: Pichia nakasei
Lineage: Eukaryota; Fungi; Ascomycota; Pichiomycetes; Pichiales; Pichiaceae
Description: LSU rRNA
Rfam family: Eukaryotic large subunit ribosomal RNA
Source: RNAcentral
ACUAAGCUCGACCUCAGAUCAGGUAGGAAUACCCGCUGAACUUAAGCAUAUCAAUAAGCGGAGGAAAAGAAACCAACAGGGAUUGCCUCAGUAGCGGCGAGUGAAGCGGCAAGAGCUCAGAUUUGAAAUCUCACCUAGUGUGCGAGUUGUAAAUUGCAGGUUGGAGUCUCGGUUUAGACGUGUGUGCAAGUCCCUUGGAACAGGGCGCCACUGAGGGUGAGAGCCCCGUAGUGUGCACGUCGAUAGCUGUGAGGCCCUUCUGACGAGUCGAGUUGUUUGGGAAUGCAGCUCUAAGUGGGUGGUAAAUUCCAUCUAAGGCUAAAUAUUGGCGAGAGACCGAUAGCGAACAAGUACUGUGAAGGAAAGAUGAAAAGCACUUUGAAAAGAGAGUGAAACAGCACGUGAAAUUGUUGAAAGGGAAGGGUAUUGGGCUCGACAUGGGAUUUACGCAUCGUUGCCUCUCGUGGGCGGCGCUCUGGGUUUUUCCUGGGCCAGCAUCGGUUUUCGUUGCAGGAUAAGGACCUUUGGAAUGUGGCUCCUCGGAGUGUUAUAGCCAUUGGUAGAUGCUGCAUAUGGGGACCGAGGGCUGCGGCGGACUUGUUUCGUCUCGGAUGCUGGCACAACGGCGCAAUACCGCCCGUCUUGAAACAUGGACCAAGGAGUCUAACGUCUAUGCGAGUGUUUGGGUGUAAAACCCGUACGCGUAAUGAAAGUGAACGUAGGUCGGACCGCUCUCUCGGGGGCG